CCCCCCCAAUCCCGCGCCCUCCCGGCCUCUCCCUAGCUGCAGGAGGUUCCUUGGACUCCUUGACUAACAUCGCGCCCCCACUCCCACCCCCAAUACACUGCCUCCCGCCCCCUCCCUUCCCACCAGGUCCGGGCGUUGCGCCCUGGGUGGGUGGAUGGAUGUGGAGAGGCAGGGUUGGGCCAGGGCCCUGCAGCCGGUCCGGAGCCGCCCGAGCCUGGGGCUAAGUCUUGGAAAAGCCCGGAGUCUCCUCCCAGAGGCUCAGCAGCCGGGAGAGGCCUCCUCCCCGGCCCUGCGCCAAGCCCGCCUGACAAAGUUCGGAAGCUGCGGUGCAGUUCCGCUAGCGCCAUUUUCUCGCACUUGUGGCUGGGCCAGGUUACCUAGCAUCUGUGUCCCGGCGCAGACUCUUCUCUACCUUGGAUCCCAGCCCCUGCCUCUCUCUAUAGACUGCCUGGGAAGAUGGGGCGAUCCCCCAGUUGAGAGUCCCGGGAAGGGGGGCAGGCGGCGGGGUCGGGCUGGAGCGCCGCGGCUGGCCCGUGUCUCCCUCGCGGCGGCACCAUUGUUCCGGGAUUGCUGUGACCGCCACAAAGUGAAACCCUUCGGCACGGGCUUGGGGCAGCUGCCACCGAAGCCAGGCCCGGGAUUCAGAUCCGGGAGAAUCUCAACUCUUGAGAAAUCAGCUCCUGUUCACCGCUUCCGCAACUCGAGGAAAUGAAACGCCAUUAAUAUUUGAAAAGGCAAUUAUUUUCCUAUUGAAUCGAGAACUGUCUUCAUGAAUAAUUUGUAGUGAGGUCUAUUGCCAUUUGAGAAACAUUUUGUUUUUUGUUUCUCUCUCUGUCUCUCUUUUCAUUACUUAGGAGGGGGGUUUGAAGGAAACGCCGGAGCAGGCGAGGCUCAGAUUUUUUUUUUUUUUUUUAACUCCAGCGAUAAUGAAUCAGGACCGCCAGUGGAAAGAACGCACUUAGAAUUCUGUCCUGAAUAGACGCAAACCUGAGCCAGCCUGGGCGCACUGAACUUGCUUCUCUGCUGUAGGUCGAUUGCACUAAGAAUUUAACCAUUUUCUGCUUCAUGGACUUCAAACAGUAGGCCGGCAAAGAGCAGUAAAAGUUUGUUUGUAUAAAAAACCCCUGUCAUUAAAAAUGAGUUCCUUCUCUGGCUCAGGACUGCGCUUCUAUCUUCGCAGUACCGGCGGUCAGCUCCUGGAGUAGCGACCCUGUGGGAGAUGGAACUUGAGGAAAUCCAGCCCCGAGGGCCCAGAAGAGGCCGCCUGCUUCCCCAGAGGGUCCGCACGAGUGCCGAAUACUGACCUGUGGCUUGCCCUGGCGCGGACACUCCUCCCAGAAGCAGAUGUGGUUGGCCUGCUCCGGGCCGCCGACGUGUUCCACGGUGACGUGCGUGACCAGCUCGUGCAUGGUGCUGAAAGUUUUGGAG
Molecule: long non-coding RNA, 1428 nt
Organism: Zalophus californianus (California sea lion)
Lineage: Eukaryota; Metazoa; Chordata; Mammalia; Carnivora; Otariidae
Exons: 3
Source: RefSeq, a predicted model, not a curated record